UACGUAGGGUGCAAGCGUUAUCCGGAAUUAUUGGGCGUAAAGAGCUCGUAGGCGGUUUGUCGCGUCUGCUGUGAAAACUGGGGGCUCAACCCCCAGCCUGCAGUGGGUACGGGGCAGACUAGAGUGCGGUAGGGGAGACUGGAAUUCCUGGUGUAGCAGUGAAAUGCGUAGAUAUCAGGAGGAACACCGAUGGCGAAGGCAGGUCUCUGGGCUGACACUGACGCUGAGGAACGAAAGCGUGGGUAGCAAACAGGA
RNAcentral lists this ribosomal RNA (255 nucleotides) under uncultured bacterium. RNAcentral describes it as "partial 16S ribosomal RNA". It matches the Rfam family "Bacterial small subunit ribosomal RNA", at positions 524 to 777 of the family's 1533-position model. The record is from RNAcentral.